CAGUAGCCGCGGUAAUACGUAGGGUGCAAGCGUUAAUCGGAAUUACUGGGCGUAAAGCGUGCGCAGGCGGUUUGUUAAGACAGAUGUGAAAUCCCCGGGCUCAACCUGGGAACUGCAUUUGUGACUGGCAGGCUAGAGUAUGGCAGAGGGGGGUAGAAUUCCACGUGUAGCAGUGAAAUGCGUAGAGAUGUGGAGGAAUACCGAUGGCGAAGGCAGCCCCCUGGGCCAAUACUGACGCUCAUGCACGAAAGCGUGGGGAGCAAACAGGAUUAGAUACCCGUGUAGUCCCUGUCUCUUAUAC
RNAcentral lists this ribosomal RNA (301 nucleotides) under uncultured bacterium. Its description in RNAcentral is "partial 16S ribosomal RNA". It matches the Rfam family "Bacterial small subunit ribosomal RNA", at positions 509 to 807 of the family's 1533-position model. The record is from RNAcentral.